AUUGAACGCUGGCGGAAUGCUUUACACAUGCAAGUCGAGCGGCAGCGCGGUCUUCGGACUGGCGGCGAGUGGCGAACGGGUGAGUAAUACAUCGGAACAUGCCCAGUCGUGGGGGAUAACACUUCGAAAGAAGUGCUAAUACCGCAUACGUCCUGAGGGAGAAAGCGGGGGAUCGCAAGACCUCGCGCGAUUGGAGUGGCCGAUGUCAGAUUAGCUAGUUGGUGGGGUAAAGGCCUACCAAGGCAACGAUCUGUAGCUGGUCUGAGAGGAUGAUCAGCCACACUGGGACUGAGACACGGCCCAGACUCCUACGGGAGGCAGCAGUGGGGAAUUUUGGCACAAUGGGGGUCAACCCUGAUCCAGCCAUUCCGCGUGAGUGAAGAAGGCCUCGGGUUGUAAAGCUCUUUCGGCAGGAACGAAACGGCGAGCUCUAACAUAGCUCGCUAAUGACGGUACCUGAAGAAGAAGCACCGGCUAACUACGUGCCAGCAGCCGCGGUAAUACGUAGGGUGCGAGCGUUAAUCGGAAUUACUGGGCGUAGAGCGUGCGCAGGCGGUUGUGUAAAGACAGGUGUGAAAAUCCCCGGGCCUAACCUGGGAACUGCGCUUGUGACUGCACGGCUAGAGUAUGGCAGAGGGGGGUUGGAAUUCCACGUGUAGCAGUGAAAUGCGUAGAGAUGUGGAGGAACACGAUGCGAAGGCAGCCCCCUGGG
Molecule: ribosomal RNA, 712 nt
Filed under: uncultured bacterium
Lineage: Bacteria
Description: bacterial SSU rRNA
Rfam family: Bacterial small subunit ribosomal RNA
Source: RNAcentral